This 429-nucleotide ribosomal RNA is filed under the name Gemmatimonadota bacterium. RNAcentral describes it as "Gemmatimonadetes bacterium partial 16S ribosomal RNA". It matches the Rfam family "Bacterial small subunit ribosomal RNA", at positions 355 to 776 of the family's 1533-position model. The record is from RNAcentral. Lineage: Bacteria; Pseudomonadati; Gemmatimonadota.
UAGGGAAUCUUCGGCAAUGGACGAAAGUCUGACCGAGCAACGCCGCGGGAGUGAAGAAGGUUUUCGGAUCGUAAAACUCUGUUGUUAGAGAAGAACAAGGACGUUAGUAACUGAACGUCCCCUGACGGUAUCUAACCAGAAAGCCACGGCUAACUACGUGCCAGCAGCCGCGGUAAUACGUAGGUGGCAAGCGUUGUCCGGAUUUAUUGGGCGUAAAGCGAGCGCAGGCGGUUUCUUAAGUCUGAUGUGAAAGCCCCCGGCUCAACCGGGGAGGGUCAUUGGAAACUGGGCGACUUGAGUGCAGAAGAGGAGAGUGGAAUUCCAUGUGUAGCGGUGAAAUGCGUAGAUAUAUGGAGGAACACCAGUGGCGAAGGCGGCUCUCUGGUCUGUUACUGACGCUGAGGCUCGAAAGCGUGGGGAGCAAACAGG